GCCCGGGUGGCGGAACUGGUAGACGCGCACGGUUCAGGACCGUGUGGGAAACCGUGGGAGUUCGAGUCUCCCCCCGGGCA
Molecule: transfer RNA, 80 nt
Filed under: Candidatus Jorgensenbacteria bacterium
Lineage: Bacteria; Candidatus Joergenseniibacteriota
Description: tRNA-Leu
Rfam family: tRNA
About the family: Transfer RNA (tRNA) molecules are approximately 80 nucleotides in length. Their secondary structure includes four short double-helical elements and three loops (D, anti-codon, and T loops). Further hydrogen bonds mediate the characteristic L-shaped molecular structure. tRNAs have two regions of fundamental functional importance: the anti-codon, which is responsible for specific mRNA codon recognition, and the 3' end, to which the tRNAs corresponding amino acid is attached (by aminoacyl-tRNA synthetases). tRNAs cope with the degeneracy of the genetic code in two manners: having more than one tRNA (with a specific anti-codon) for a particular amino acid; and 'wobble' base-pairing, i.e. permitting non-standard base-pairing at the 3rd anti-codon position.
Source: RNAcentral